Molecule: ribosomal RNA, 379 nt
Filed under: uncultured eukaryote
Lineage: Eukaryota
Description: partial 18S ribosomal RNA
Rfam family: Eukaryotic small subunit ribosomal RNA
Source: RNAcentral
CAAUAGCGUAUAUUAAAGUUGUUGCGGUUAAAAAGCUCGUAGUUGGAUUUCUGCUGAGAACGACCGGUCCGCCCUUUGGGUGUGUAUCUGGCUCUUUCUUGGCAUCUUCUUGGUGAACGUUGCUGCACUUGACUGUGUGGAGCGCUACCCAGGACUUUUACUUUGAGGAAAUUAGAGUGUUUCAAGCAGGCAUACGCCUUGAAUACAUUAGCAUGGAAUAAUAAGAUAGGACCUCGGUUCUAUUUUGUUGGUUUCUAGAGCUGAGGUAAUGAUUAAUAGGGAUAGUUGGGGGCAUUCGUAUUUAACUGUCAGAGGUGAAAUUCUUGGAUUUGUUAAAGACGGACUCCUGCGAAAGCAUUUGCCAAGGAUGUUUUCAUUG